Long non-coding RNA from Prunus persica (peach), 796 nucleotides. RefSeq lists it as uncharacterized. The transcript has 2 exons. The record is from RefSeq and is a predicted model, not a curated record. NCBI's taxonomy places the organism in Eukaryota, Viridiplantae, Streptophyta, Magnoliopsida, Rosales, Rosaceae.
GGGUUUUAGUGGGUGAAGAUCUUCUAGCUAGCAAGUCGGCUUACUUAGUUUAGAUUUUAUGGUCCAUUAUUCUGCCUGUUGUUACUGAACUGUGGACAUCUUGCUGGAGCUGCAAUUUCCGCGAAAUUUCCAAUAUAUAUAUGUAGGGACGUCUCAGUUAAUUUAUUUUGUUGGUAUAUAUAUAUAUAUAUGUUUUUUAUAUGAGACGUCCGUACGAUAAUAUAUUCCGUAUCUUUAGUCUUCAAUGAGACUCGUGAAUCCUGAUUUGAUUUGAUUUCGUAGAGAAGAAGUUAAGAGAGAAAAGUAGGAUUAGAUUUCUACCAUGAAAAGACAACCAGUUCUUUCUGAAAGACUAUUUCUUCUUCGAAAGAAGACUGAUAUGAAGAAGAUUGCUGAGAGUAGAAAGUUCUUAUAAUACGGACGGAUGGUCCAGAGAAGAAGUCGUUUCGCAUUUGGACUGUGUGCUAAUUAUACAUCAUAUAUAUUUAAAGGCCUUAAAGUGUAUGUAUGGUGAACCAAUGUCAGUACAAGCCACACCAACCAAGGCUUGACAGCACCAUUCAUCCAAACCUAUAAAAUAUUGUGGAAGAUUUGGUUUGUAUAUAGCUAGUGAGUGGAGAGUUUCAUGCAGGUACAUUUCUAUCUCUAUCUCUAUCAAAUAAAAUAGUCGGCAAGAUUGGGAGUACGAGAUGAGAAAGAGAAAAAAAGUUUUAUUAUAUUCUAAAAGGAGACUGUUAAAGUUAAUUGUAUUUUAUGAGACCCACCGUAUCUUAAUAGAAGAGAAGAUACUUCUUUU